GAUGAACGCUGGCGGCGUGCCUAAUACAUGCAAGUCGAGCGAACAGACGAGGAGCUUGCUCCUUUGACGUUAGCGGCGGACGGGUGAGUAACACGUGGGUAACCUACCUAUAAGACUGGGAUAACUUCGGGAAACCGGAGCUAAUACCGGAUAAUAUUUCGAACCGCAUGGUUCGAUAGUGAAAGAUGGCUUUGCUAUCACUUAUAGAUGGACCUGCGCCGUAUUAGCUAGUUGGUAAGGUAACGGCUUACCAAGGCAACGAUACGUAGCCGACCUGAGAGGGUGAUCGGCCACACUGGAACUGAGACACGGUCCAGACUCCUACGGGAGGCAGCAGUAGGGAAUCUUCCGCAAUGGGCGAAAGCCUGACGGAGCAACGCCGCGUGAGAGAUGAAGGUCUUCGGAUCGUAAAACUCUGUUAUUAGGGAAGAACAAACGUGUAAGUAACUGUGCACGUCUUGACGGUACCUAAUCAGAAAGCCACGGCUAACUACGUG
Molecule: ribosomal RNA, 497 nt
Filed under: uncultured bacterium
Lineage: Bacteria
Description: partial 16S ribosomal RNA
Rfam family: Bacterial small subunit ribosomal RNA
Source: RNAcentral